CCCGACCCGGGAGUCUCGACCCUGGGGCAGAGUCGGUCCCCUGGCGCGCCGCGGACGACUUUCCUCCCGAAACAGCUCCAUGCCUUUUAAAGGCAAUUCUUGGAGUUCAUUUCUUCAUUCCACAGAUGUUCAUUGAGUGUCUCCUGUGCGCUGAGUACUGUUCUGGGCUUUGAGGUCAUUGCAUAACAGUGCAGAGAGGACCCAGGACUCUUGUGGCUGGCUCAGUCACAGAUGCUUUCCACCCUUGUAGUGCUCCAGGAUUGACAGUCCUUUCAGUGUCGCAUGGAGUAGACAGUUCCUCAAAGAAUUAUAAAGAGGGUUGGAGACUUGGAACACAGCAAAUGCAGAAGGAGCUGAGACCAGAAAACAAGCCUCGGAGACGAUGAACUUCCCAAUGGCACUGCAGGUUAUGCCUACUUGAGGGCGCUGGUGUCCACUUCCCUUGUCUGCCAAGAUGCCCAGAGCUAAGUUUAGCACAAAAGCAAUCACUACUCCUCACUUCAAUUUCAGUUAUUAUUUGUCUUUCUAGACAUGCCUUUCUAUUAUUUGCCUUCUAGAAUGUCUAAGAAUUCUAUUAUAUGUAUUUUCCUUUUAAAAAAUACACUUCAGAUCUCUUUUUGGAAAUAGGUGGUUGCAAAUAUAAUAAAUAACUCACACCCUUCAA
Bos taurus (domestic cattle) is the source of this 664-nucleotide long non-coding RNA. NCBI's taxonomy places the organism in Eukaryota, Metazoa, Chordata, Mammalia, Artiodactyla, Bovidae. The record is from Ensembl.